UACGAAGGGUGCAAGCGUUACUCGGAAUUACCGGGCGUAAAGCGUGCGUAGGUGGUUCGUUAAGUCUGAUGUGAAAGCCCUGGGCUCAACCUGGGAAUGGCAUUGGAAACUGGCGACCUAGAGUGCGGUAGAGGGUAGUGGAAUUCCCGGUGUAGCGGUGAAAUGCGUAGAUAUCGGAAGGAACAUCAGUGGCGAAGGCGACUUCCUGGCCCGGUACUGACGCUGAGGUGCGAAAGCGUGGGGAGCAAACAGG
Molecule: ribosomal RNA, 253 nt
Filed under: uncultured bacterium
Lineage: Bacteria
Description: partial 16S ribosomal RNA
Rfam family: Bacterial small subunit ribosomal RNA
Source: RNAcentral